CCCGAGUUGGUGCAGUGGUUAGCAUUUCCGGUGGCCAGCGGGAAGACUCAGGUUCAAAUCCUGAACUUGGGA
RNAcentral lists this transfer RNA (72 nucleotides) under Fusarium graminearum. RNAcentral describes it as "tRNA-Gly (GCC) (tRNA-Gly-GCC-2-1)". It matches the Rfam family "tRNA". Rfam says of the family: Transfer RNA (tRNA) molecules are approximately 80 nucleotides in length. Their secondary structure includes four short double-helical elements and three loops (D, anti-codon, and T loops). Further hydrogen bonds mediate the characteristic L-shaped molecular structure. tRNAs have two regions of fundamental functional importance: the anti-codon, which is responsible for specific mRNA codon recognition, and the 3' end, to which the tRNAs corresponding amino acid is attached (by aminoacyl-tRNA synthetases). tRNAs cope with the degeneracy of the genetic code in two manners: having more than one tRNA (with a specific anti-codon) for a particular amino acid; and 'wobble' base-pairing, i.e. permitting non-standard base-pairing at the 3rd anti-codon position. Lineage: Eukaryota; Fungi; Ascomycota; Sordariomycetes; Hypocreales; Nectriaceae. RNAcentral also lists the same sequence under 1 other name. The record is from RNAcentral.